GAUUGUAGUCUGCAACCCGACUACAUGAAGCUGGAAUCGCUAGUAAUCGCAGGUCAGCAUACUGCGGUGAAUACGUUCCCGGGUCUUGUACACACCGCCCGUCACACCAUGGGAGCCGGAAAUGCCCGAAGCCAGUGACCCAACCUUAGGGAGGGAGCUGUCGAAGGUGGAGCCGGUAACUGGGGUGAAGUCGUAACAAGGUACC
Molecule: ribosomal RNA, 205 nt
Filed under: uncultured bacterium
Lineage: Bacteria
Description: partial 16S ribosomal RNA
Rfam family: Bacterial small subunit ribosomal RNA
Source: RNAcentral